This 344-nucleotide ribosomal RNA is filed under the name Microcentrus caryae. Its description in RNAcentral is "partial 12S small subunit ribosomal RNA". Lineage: Eukaryota; Metazoa; Arthropoda; Insecta; Hemiptera; Membracidae. The record is from RNAcentral.
UUUGAAUUUAUAUUAAAACUUGAAUAAAAGUAGAUGUUCUUCAUAACUCAAAGAAUUUGGCGGUAAAUUUUAAUUAUUAGAGGAACCUGUGUAUGAAUUGAUAAACCACGAUAGUUUAAACCUUUAUUUUAUUUAUAUACCUCUAUAUUAGGAAUGUUUUUAAAAAAUUAUUUUCUUUUUGUUUAUUCUUCUAUAUUAGGUCAAGGUGUAGUUUUGUGAAGUGUUUAUGUGGGUUACUAUAGUCAUAAUUUUAAUUGAAUUUUUAGUGUUAACUAAACUAGUGCAUUAGGAUUUGAAAGUAAUUCUAAUUAAUUAAUUAGUGUGAAUAAUAUAAUAGUUUGUGU